AUAAUCUUGUAUUGACAGUGUCAUAGUCAGUGGCAUUUAUCUGAGGCAUGAUUAUUGCUAAUUGAAAAGUUUUCCCAAUACCGCAGUGUGAUGACUUGAAAUAAUACCAAUAAUAAUAGCAAGAAGUCUAGUUACACUU
Fukomys damarensis (Damara mole-rat) is the source of this 139-nucleotide small nuclear RNA. Its record names the gene U4. It matches the Rfam family "U4 spliceosomal RNA". Rfam says of the family: U4 small nuclear RNA (U4 snRNA) is a component of the major U2-dependent spliceosome. The structure of U4 snRNA from yeast and human has been reported. Lineage: Eukaryota; Metazoa; Chordata; Mammalia; Rodentia; Bathyergidae. The record is from Ensembl.